CCCUCACCCUCUCGCGCCCCGCGCCCCUUGCCCUCCCCAGGGGCCCUCAGGCACUCGGACGGGACGUUCACCAGCGAGCUCAGCCGCCUGCGGGAGAGCGCCCAGCUGCAGGAGCUGUUCCAGGUCCUGUCUGAGAAGCGCAGCGAGCAGCACACCGAGACCAGCACGUCCAGCACCAAGACUGCGGAGAGACCCGUCUGCCUGCUGUGGUCCAGCAGCCUGCCCUGCAGACCUGGGCGGUACCCAUGUCUGGCACCGGAUAUGAGACACUGAAGACGCCCAGCUUCAAGGAUUUAAGGAGAGCAAAUCUGCUGCGGUUCAGACGCUUGUCUGCCCUCCACAGACAGGAUGCUCUCCUCCUCCCUGGAAACUGCCAAACUGCCAUUCCUGCUCUGCCUGAGCGCAAACUGCUAGAGGCCUCUCUUCGAGUCAAGAAACCAAGCUCCUUGCCGCAGCUUAUUUUGACGACCUCCAUGUGUCUCCUCUGUCAGCGAGUGUCUCCGGGUGUCCUGCCAAGGACUGAAACCCAUCAGCUCUCUGAUAAAUAAACCUGUGUGAUUUCUUGCAUUGUU
Myotis lucifugus (little brown bat) is the source of this 572-nucleotide long non-coding RNA. RefSeq lists it as uncharacterized. The record is from RefSeq and is a predicted model, not a curated record. NCBI's taxonomy places the organism in Eukaryota, Metazoa, Chordata, Mammalia, Chiroptera, Vespertilionidae. The transcript is spliced from 3 exons.